CUCCACAUUUUGACGGCUUUCCCUGGUUCUGUGAAUUCCUUCCAAGUUGCUGCCAUCUUUCCACUAAUAAGCUGCCCAAUACACUGUACCGGUCACCUCCCUGGAGCCUCUCACAGCCUCCUGGAUGAUCUUCAGCCUCUAUUCUGGAAAAACCAAGGCUUACACCACCCACUACAAUGCUCUUUCAGCCCUGUGCUCUCCAGGUGGCCUUGGCUGUUACAUCUUGUCGUUCAUCACCCCUACCACCUUUGCAAGAUUAAGAUUGUUAAUAAAGAUGUUAACACGUUCUCUAGGCCUCACUCCAACCUCGCCAUAGCUGGCCCGCUAUCUGGGGCCCUCUGCUCAAGAAAAGAAACUGCAUUUUAUCAUAAGUUCUGUUGUUUACCGUCUCCUGAUGGCCUGGAGCUUUUGGCUGUCUUGCUUAAAUGUGACUCAAAGCAGUUAAAAAAUAAAGAAGGAAAUAAAAUGAAAAACAACAACAGAAAGAAGAAAAGGGCAACCUCAGCCUGAUGAAAGACUUGGAAGAGUGAGACCUCUCCCUCUCCGGAAUAAAUUGCUAGUUGCCUUUCA
RNAcentral lists this small RNA (570 nucleotides) under Pan troglodytes (chimpanzee). RNAcentral describes it as "processed transcript". The record is from RNAcentral. Lineage: Eukaryota; Metazoa; Chordata; Mammalia; Primates; Hominidae.